AUGGAUGGUCCACUUUGUGACUAAUCAUUGAACACACAUUUAUGAUUUGUGCACUUUGGGGCAUUUGUGUUAUUUUCUUAAAGAGAAAAAUGAAUUGAGGCCUGGCUCCAGGCCAGAAUAAUUAGGUCAGGGUCCCUGGGAGAGGGUUCAGGUGACUCUGACAUGUACUGGGGCUGCCCACCUGACCUGGCUUACAUGGCCAACCUCUUGUCUCCCCCUCUCCCUUGCCUGCUCCUGCCCACCUCCUUUCUGUCCCUUGAACAUGCCUCUUGUUUUUGGGCACCAACUGUUUGCACUUGCCUGUGUGUUCCCUGGGAUUGGAAGGCUGUCUCCUGCCUGGCUCCCUCAAGUCACGCCCUACAGUGACCUUCCCUGGCCCGUCCAUCUAAAAUGGGCUGCUCAUCCCAGCCACUUUCUGUUCUAUCAUUCUGUUUAUUUCCUUUACUCUUUUGCGGUUGAGACAAUGUCCUGUGGUCAUCAAAUUCCAUUUCAUUUGCGUCUUCCUAGAUUUCGAAGAAGACUGUGUUUUUCAACCUCCCUUGCAGUUAGGUUGGGGCCAGUGGUUUGUGGACAGAGGUGACAGACGCCACAUCCAGACCUUGCCACAGAACCUCUUGUGGGACCGUCCACACCCCCUAUUCCUCUUCCACGGUGACCAAGGUGACCACCUGUGUAAGACGGAAGAGCCCAGGACGUAAGGAGCCUGGAGCCCGGAGUCACCGACAGGAGGAGAGCUGCCAAGUGGGGCUGCUGAACCACACUGAUCAUAGAACGUGAGCUCCUGUUUACAGCUGUAUUUCCAGCCCACGGGCACAGGCCCGGCGUGCAGAAGCCCAGCAGCAUUCCAUGCAGGCGAUAAAUGAUUCAGUGUCGAGAGGACUCUGGAGACAGAGAUGAUGUUCUCAGGGUGGGAGGGGGGAAGUCUGCAGGAGAGAGCGUGGGUCUUGGGUUCCCUUUCUGAGUGGUAGUCUCUCCAUCUGUAAUAGCACGGCAUGCAAUCAUCGCUUAUGAACACCUAGCAUGUUGCAGGGUGGAGAGGCGGCCUGUAAUACUCCCUAGGAUUGCAGAUGCAGACGGGCAGACGGGGGAAUUGAAGGCUCGAGUCAAGAACGGUCGGCCAGCACCUGCACCUGCAUUCGGUGGUGGAGGGGGCUGCACUUUCAGACGGGAGUGGGGUGGAGCUCCACUGUCCUCUACCUGUCACCUGGCCCAGUCUCACCUGUCUGCAGAUUCACCCCGGUUACGCUGCUGAAUUUCCUUUCCUGGGACCUCUGCAUGUUUAGAGAUGACUGCUGGAGAUCGGAGAGUCUUCACACGGAAUGAGAGACCAAGUGGUGAUGAGGGCCCUGACGACAUCCUGCUCAUGGAUGGGCCUGGAAACACGCCCCAAGAAAGAAAUCAGACACACAGGACCCGUGUGGUGUGACGGCCCCUGUGUGAGAUGUCCAGGACAGGUGCGUGCGGAUAGACCGUAGAGCACCGACCGAAGAACAAAGUGUCCUCGCCCUUUGUCCCCUCCUCUGACUUGUGAGCUCAUGUGGUCUUGAGGAACUCCAUCAAGACGUCACCUGUGUCCUGAGACCGACCAGGUGCCCCACUGAGAUGAGCCCCUCGGUGUCCUGCUGAUGCGCUGACCCAAGAGCCCUUGAGCCUUCUUUGAAACACCCAGGGAAGCAGCCAUGCUAACUGCUCAGCAGGCUUGGGAUGCUCGUUAUGACCCCUGUGUUCUUCCUUAUGGUGCAAGGCUGGUUUUUAUGGUGACCUCAAUGUUUUCCACGACAGAAUAAUGUCGGCGCUCGGUGUCCAGAGUCUAGCCAGGGUUGGUAUGUGUGGCUGGAACACUGAGGAUGCACCAAGAGUAUGUGGGGUGGGGGUGGGAGGUACUUGGAGGUUUAAAGACCCCGCUAUAGUCUCCCCAUGAGCUCACAGAACAGGCCACUGAGAAUCAGGUCAGAAGAGGUUUCCAGUGCUCUGCGCGUGCUCUCCCGUCCCUCUCCCACUGUCUUCCUCCUCUCCCCACACAAACCAUCCCUCCACCUCCCUCAGCACCUGCCCCCAACCAGGUACCAUGCAGGAGCAUGUUUCCAGAUCUGCUCACUUGCUCCGUGCCACGACGUGCAUGAGUCUGUGGGAGGGGGGACAGGUUUGUCUGGACAAAGUGGAGCUCUCCAGGAUGGAGAAGGACGCGAGGCCAUUCAAAAUCAAGAAACCCAUUAGCUGUGUCUUCACAGAGGCCAGGAAGCUGAACCUCGGCCCGGGGAGCUGUCCUGCUGCCAUGUCCAGUGUCCUGAGCUCAUCACCGUGUUGCUCUGUGCAGACUGUGCUUUUCUUGGAGGCUCAUUUGUCAAGCAUCCCCGGCCCUUGGAUGGAAGGGGUCGCCGCCAGAUUGGAACUGUGCCUUGAUUCUUGUUUUCUGCUGGUGUUCCCACUAACGAAGGGCAGCUGCAGGAGAAAACAUCCUGGGGGCCUAGACAUGGUGGGAGUGGAGCUCCGUGCUGAAGACCCCGGACAAGGUGCCACAUCACUUGCUCCUUGCCGUCUGAACAUGUGGCCACCUGUAUUUUCUAACCGCUAGCUACGUGCACCAAGAAGCAGAGGUGUCGGGAGGCCAGCCAGCAGCUGUGAGCCUGUGAAUUUCCAGUCAGACCCAACUCCUUAAGAGCAAAAGGAGUGGGGCUUGGGCGCCCCUGGCCGCCGUGGUUCUUCAUCUUGGUGUCUCUCUCCAGUCUGUCGGCACCGGCCCUGGGGCUGCUUCUGUGGGGCCCUCUCCCGUGUCUCCCUUCCUUGCCCUUUCUCUUCCACACCCCUCACCCUGCUUGCCUUAUUUCCUGCACCCUAGUUUCCAGGUACUCCUUGUCUUCUACUUGGACCAUUGCCGAGGCCUCCCUGUCACCCCCCCCCGAAAUUCCAAGCCUAUAUAUCCCAUUGUUGUCACAGAAGUCUUUCAGAAGCAGAGCUACUUCUAUGGCAUGCUGCUGCUCAAGAACAUUCAGUGGCUCCCUGUUACCUAACAUAAAGAAGUCCAGACUCCUUGGCAUGGCCUUGGACCCCCUCCGAUUUGGCCCUGAGUUGACUUUAUGGACGUGGCCUGCCUCAUUUCCAACCCUAACCCCACUCCCCAUUCCCACAACUCCUGGCUGGAGUUAAACGGGAUGGCCUGCUUACACCUCCCAUCUGUGUCCACCCCGCAUGGGCUUUGUGCUGGAGAGUUCUGUGAAGGAGAUGACAUCCCAGUGAUCUUCCAGUCCACACUACCUACCCUCCCCUUCCCCUGAACUCAGAGUGUUUACGGGCUGGGUCACUCUGCAUGGAAAUUCAUUGAUUCAACAAACGCUGCCCAUUGACACGAUGCUUUGGUUCAGCUUGUCCUGAACUUUCCUGGACAAACUCCCGCCACACAUUCUCAGUCCUAUGGCGUUUUCAGCUCCUUGUUGCUCGGUGUCACAAAGAGGCUACUGUACCACUUCCCAAGUCCCACCCUAUAAGCACCUAGGGUUUUCUUAUCUUUCCAUCCUUCUGUUCUUUAACUCACCAUGUGUUUACAGAGUUCCUGUUCUGUGCCGAGCACUGGGGGUACCAUGGGGGUGAGGUGGACCCCGUCCUCCUGUUGUGUGAGGCGAGGUGGACGGGACCCCCCAGCCCCAGCACUGUGUAGUGAGCAUGAAAAGGUGCGGGUGCUAGGAAGCAGGUGAGGGGGGCUGUGUGGUCUUGGGGUGUCAGGGGCCCCGUCUCUACAGAGGGGACUUUCAGCUGAUAUUGGAAGGAUGACUGGGUGUUGGACAUGAGAGUGGGAGCAUCUGGAGACACACCAGGAAGGUGUGUGAAAGGCAGGAAGCAUGUCCCAAGGGACUGGCAAGGGCUGGGUGUGACACCAUCAGAGUUGCCUUUUGCGAAGGUGACCCUCUGCCGAAUCCGGCCCACUGCCGGUUUUUGUCCAUAAAGCUUUAUUGGCACCCAGCUGCGCCCAUUAGUUUAUGUUUUGCCAAUGGCUGCUUUCUAGAUGUGGAAUUGUGGAACCAAAGGCCACGUGGCCCGCAGCGCCAGACAUAUUUACAUGGACCUCUUAUGAAGUGCUUGCAGACCGCUCUGUUAAAAAGCUGGGUUGGGGGUGCCUGGGUGGCUCAGUCGGUUA
Non-coding RNA from Leptonychotes weddellii (Weddell seal), 4132 nucleotides. The record is from RefSeq and is a predicted model, not a curated record. Lineage: Eukaryota; Metazoa; Chordata; Mammalia; Carnivora; Phocidae.